UGGGGAAUAUUGCACAAUGGGCGAAAGCCUGAUGCAGCAACGCCGCGUGAGUGAUGAAGGUCUUCGGAUUGUAAAGCUCUGUCUUUUGGGACGAUAAUGACGGUACCAAAGGAGGAAGCCACGGCUAACUACGUGCCAGCAGCCGCGGUAAUACGUAGGUGGCGAGCGUUGUCCGGAUUUACUGGGCGUAAAGGGUGCGUAGGCGGAUGUUUAAGUGAGAUGUGAAAUACCCGGGCUUAACUUGGGUGCUGCAUUUCAAACUGGAUAUCUAGGGUGCAGGAGAGGAGAAUGGAAUUCCUAGUGUAGCGGUGAAAUGCGUAGAGAUUAGGAAGAACACCAGUGGCGAAGGCGAUUCUCUGGACUGUAACUGACGCUGAGGCACGAAAGCGUGGGUAGCAAACAGGAUUAGAUACCCUGGUAGUCCACGCCGUAAACGAUGAGUACUAGGUGUAGGAGGUAUCGACCCCUUCUGUGCCGCAGUAAACACAUUAAGUACUCCGCCUGGGAAGUACGAUCGCAAGAUU
RNAcentral lists this ribosomal RNA (524 nucleotides) under uncultured bacterium. RNAcentral's name for it is "partial 16S ribosomal RNA". It matches the Rfam family "Bacterial small subunit ribosomal RNA", at positions 355 to 895 of the family's 1533-position model. The record is from RNAcentral.